GACAGAGGGUGCAAACGUUGUUUGGAAUUACUGGGCGUAAAGCGCGUGUAGGCGGCCCUGCAAGUCGGGUGUGAAAUCCCACGGCUCAACCGUGGAAGUGCACUCGAAACUGCAGGGCUAGAGUCCUGGAGAGGAAGGUGGAAUGCUUGGUGUAGAGGUGAAAUUCGUAGAUAUCAAGCGGAACACCGGUGGCGAAGGCGGCCUUCUGGACAGUGACUGACGCUGAGACGCGAAAGCGUGGGGAGCAAACAGG
This 253-nucleotide ribosomal RNA is filed under the name uncultured bacterium. RNAcentral describes it as "partial 16S ribosomal RNA". It matches the Rfam family "Bacterial small subunit ribosomal RNA", at positions 524 to 776 of the family's 1533-position model. The record is from RNAcentral.